This 336-nucleotide long non-coding RNA is filed under the name Amphibalanus amphitrite. Its description in RNAcentral is "uncharacterized LOC122384431". The record is from RNAcentral. Lineage: Eukaryota; Metazoa; Arthropoda; Thecostraca; Balanomorpha; Balanidae.
CGUACGGUCGGCGGCGGGCGUCCCGAUCCUCGCCUGGGGCGGAGAGGGGAGCGCGCGUCCCCCUCCGCCGCAUUCCGUCCGUCCCAUUCACUGCUCGCUCGCGGUGUGCGGAGAGCCGACGGAAGUGUCGAGUGUGUGCCGUGCGGUGUCGUCUGCCGUCUCUUCUUCCGACCUGAAGGAACGCAGGAUGCGAGGAUCGUCGGGCGACACCACCACUCGAGAUUCGUAGAUCGAUGGACGGAGCGGCAGCCGCGACGCGACGACGUGUGUCGUAAUGUGACGGGAUGUGACCCGGAAAUGGCUGUGUAUUUAUCCCAGAAAUACAUUUAUUCCGAA